Molecule: long non-coding RNA, 2211 nt
Organism: Gadus macrocephalus (Pacific cod)
Lineage: Eukaryota; Metazoa; Chordata; Actinopteri; Gadiformes; Gadidae
Exons: 2
Source: RefSeq, a predicted model, not a curated record
GUUAAUGUAAAAUAAUUCACAACACUGUAGACGGUACAAGAGGCAAAACAGUUAUUAUGGUAUCAAUGCAGCAAUACAUGUGGAAACUGUCCAGCUGAUUCGUUUAUGGAAAGCGUAGUGUUACCGUUGUAAUGCGUUUAUAAGUGGUGCCAUUUUUAUAGUAUUAGCAUUUUACCAAUUUCAAUAGUCGCGCUACAUUUCUGCCUCCUUUGUUGAUAAUGCUGAUGUUAAUGCUUUUGUGAAAGGAUAUUCGAGAGUUCUAUGGUACGUUUUUGAAGAAGUGAUAUUUGUUUUAGCUUUGGUGUGAUGUCAUGGGGCUCAGGUGAAAGUAUCUACAUACAUGAUUGUAGGAAUCGUUGGAGGGUUCAUGUGUAAACGUUAGAGUCCAAAUAGGAUGGUUGCUAUUACUUUCGUCCUUGUAUACUUUAUUCAUGCUGAAAAAAGAAAGAACUGAUAAAUAUAUACAUAUAUAUAUAUGAAUUAGGGUUUGCCUUGAAUAUUCAGUUGGCACAUUGGUACUUGGACAUUAUCUCAUAAGAUAUGUUUUUCAGUUUUAAUAGGAGCAAAACUAGAUGCCUAAGAAAUCUGAGAACAUUUAAAUCAAAAUCACACCAAUAGGGAAAGAAGAGGGUCUCGAGAUGACAACGGACAUGCUCUUAUUACGGGGGUUUGUCAUGUUAAAUCGACGGAGCCCAUCACCAUGAGUCUAUUUAUUGAGCAGUAUAAACGCUGCCUCGGGCCACACUUCAUGUUUAUUGGCUCAUUUAUUAAAAGAGAACGCUCUGCUGUUUGUUCAUGAACUGCGGCGAAGAUUAAAAGCAUUUCGGCAUACGGCCCUGAUUUAUUUCUAGGUUUUUCUAACAGUCAACUGAUAGCGACCACGUAUGGUAACGGAGCCCAAAGAGCUCUCCAGACCCCAGAAUGUGAGCGAUUCCUGCCUUAGCUGGUGUAAGUGUGUAUUAUUUUGCACAGGGCCCAAGCAUGCCUGCCUGCCUGCCUGCCUGUCUGUCUACCCUGAAGGCCCCUGCUCAAACACAGCAGGGGGUCCUGGCAUUCUGACCCACAGCACUCGGGGCUGGUCACUCAGAACGGCGCAGAGCAACACUCCAUAUAAGUGAAGCAGCAGGGAAAGGGGGGGGGGGGGGGGCAAUGCUUUUGAUCUUGACCGCUGCAAUCCAUCCGUUUCGCCGCUUACCGCCGGUGUCCUCUCGACGAAGAGAGUGAUGCAAGACGCUUUUUUCGAAGCCCUUUUUCCUUAACCAAAAAUGUGCCUUACCGAUAGGACGACGCGUAGAUAUAUAGAUGUGUCCUUUCUAAAAUUCUAUCAAUAACUUAAAAGUGAUUUAUGAUUCUAGUGCUAUAGACACAGCAAUGUAUUUGGAAUUGUGAUUUUUUGUGUGCUGUCAAGAAAAGAAAAAAAUAUAUAAAGCUAAUCACCCUGCUGCAGCCAUGUGUGUGCCAAUAGGCUGAAGACAUUGUUUUAUUUUAUGUGCACUUUUCCUUUUUGGGUGUCUGUGGUGUGUGUGUGUGUGUGUGUGUGUGUGUGUGUGUGUGUGUUAGGCCUUCUGUGACUAUGGCCCAAGCGAAUAAAUGUAAAGCAAUGUCCAUCCCCAAAUUCCCAUUCAAAUGGUUGGAACCCUAAAAAUUCGCUCCAAGUCAAAAAGGAUAAUUGUGUGUAGAUCGAUUAUAGCUCAAAACUGUUGCAAUGGUGUUUUUCCUUCUUUUGCCGUGUGUCUCUACCGUGUGUAUGAUUAAUGACUAUCUAUACUCGACAAAAGAGCUUUCUUACUGCUGUGCAGUUAUUUUUGUUUCCUAUAACAUAUAUACCUUUGUAAAAACAUGUUGAAAUACUGUACUCUUCACUGUAUAAUCCUAUGCAUUGAGUCCUGGGGCGUGGGGGGAGGGGGGAAUUAAGUGUAUUUGUGCAGUUGUCGAGACAUUUUCUCCUCUCCCUUCCAUUUUGAAAACUUGUGAAAGUGCCGUGGUGAUAAAAACUAAACUGGAACGGUCUCAUUUUCAACGCUGGCGAAAGCAAUGUCCCUUUCAACCCGAGGCAGCUCACAAGCCAAUCUUGAUCUGUUUCGUAGUGGAUGAACUCACUCCUCCAAAGUUUAUGUGCGUGCGUGUGCGUCUGUGUGUGUGUGGAUGGAGCAUUUACACAUGGGUUUCAUCACCCACGCCACCGUGAAUAAAUUUCUCAGAGAUGUCUAA